This 465-nucleotide ribosomal RNA is filed under the name uncultured bacterium. Its description in RNAcentral is "partial 16S ribosomal RNA". It matches the Rfam family "Bacterial small subunit ribosomal RNA", at positions 338 to 795 of the family's 1533-position model. The record is from RNAcentral.
CCUACGGGAGGCAGCAGUAGGGAAUCUUCCACAAUGGACGAAAGUCUGAUGGAGCAACGCCGCGUGAGUGAAGAAGGAUUUCGGCUCGUAAAGCUCUGUUAGCAGUGAAGAAAGAUAGGGGUAGUAACUGGCCUUUAUUGGACGGUAAUUACUUAGCAGGUCACGUCUAACUACGUGCCAGCGCCCGCGGUAAUACGUAGGUGGCAAGCGUUGUCCGGAUUUAUUGGGCGUAAAGCGAGUGCAGGCGGCUCAGUAAGUCUGAUGUGAAAGCCGUCGGCUCAACCGGAGAAUUGCACGAGAAACUGUUGAACUUGAGUGCAGAAGAGGAGAGUGGAACUCCAUGUGUAGCGGUGGAAUGCGUAGAUAUAAGGAAGAACACCAGUGGCGAAGGCGGCUCUCUGGUCUGCAACUGACGCUGAGGCUCGAAAGCAUGGGUAGCGAACAGGAUUAGAUACCCGUGUAGUC